Molecule: non-coding RNA, 3764 nt
Organism: Lepisosteus oculatus (spotted gar)
Lineage: Eukaryota; Metazoa; Chordata; Actinopteri; Semionotiformes; Lepisosteidae
Source: RefSeq, a predicted model, not a curated record
GGGGAAAGAGGUUACACAGAGCGGGCGACCGCGACGCCGAGCAGUCCAGACUCGAUGUUUCUUCACAGCUGCCCCGCAUUCCGCCCCCAUUACGCAAAACACACAUUAGGCCCUGGCAAGACUCCCGUCACUGCUCAAACCGCAUUCACUCCUGCAUCUCGGCGAGGACAGUAGAGACGUCGAGAUGAAAGCCGGAGACGACAGCUGGAGACGGUGUCAUUUAGAAAAUCUCUCGCUGUGCCAAUCCAUCAUUAGAGUUUGAUUAUUCACCGGCGCUUUGAGGACUGGAGGGAAGACAUAAUGUCACAGUGCACGCCGGACAAACACAACAACACAACAAACACAAACCCAGGGCACCGCAGCUACAAGAAAUUCAACCGAAAAAGUAAAACUUUUCAUCCCUGAUCUUCAACAGUGUACGGAUAUCGUGAUCCGUGGAACUCCAUAUAAUAAUAAUAACAAUAAUAGCGUGUGAGCUAUUUUCCUGGAUGCCUUUGGAUCAUUAAUUUAUAUUAAUAUUCAGUGAGUCGAGACACAGACCUUGGUACCUGGGGAGACUCCUCGGUUUCGUAAAGCUGGAGAUGUGGUUUUGCUAAAUAAAAACAGAAUCUGGUAGUAUAAGGGUGCUCUUGUGAAAAUAAUGAUCUGACAGUCUGCGGCUUUGUAUCAUGAUCCCUCUGUAAUCCACUGAAAACAUCAUUAUGAGAACUGGUGGAUCCACCGGAAGAUCAUUUAGUCCCAUUUAAAAUGGGAUUUUUGGGGUGCGUGCUGGUUUCUUACUCCGCUCUGGUGUAGGAAUUCUUAAGUUUUGAAAGAAGAAAAUGUACGUAUAGUUAGCGUAUUUUGUCAAUGACUUCUUGUACCAAGAAACUGUGAGAACGUAUUAGUGAGAGCGUCGUCUACUAAAAGUUAGCAAACGGUAGAAGUAUUUCAUGCUUUCCGAUUCAGUAAUAAAAAUCAGAUAAGCACGAAAAGGCGCACUCAUUAACACUAUGUAAAUAACGCACUUUGUCCCCUACAGUAUUAGCAAUUCAAACACCUUCUGCGUCUUGAAUGUUAAAAAAAAAUGACAGGAGGCAGUGGUGUCAAGAAAACAGCGGGCGCCCCUUUGAGCUAACAAGUUAACAAACGUUUUGGCGCUCUGCAUCUCUUUCAUGUUGGCUAACGCGAGGAAAGAUCACAGACUGGGCUCCUGCCACGAUACUACCUCCUACAGCCCGGUUAAACUCCACCGAGAUCGCAAAGAGAAUAGGAAAUGAAUCAAAGCAGACAAGCUUUUGACAGCUACGUGUCAAUUAUGAUAAAGACAGAAAAUAGUCUAUGGCCUUUCACACAAGUCAUAUUAAAACUAUUCUGCUCCUACCGCGGCUCCCACACAAGAGAGAGAAACCCCAGAAAGAUAAGAGAAUUCACGAUUUUUCCUGACUAGCUAUGUGAUGACUGUUUACAAUUUUCAGUCCUUGUCUCCGAUUCUAGAUCAAACACUACCGACUUCUUUUUCCAGUUCUUGAAGUAUUGAAUUAUCAUGAAACAUUGUGAACGUUUUCUGACCAAGAGAAUGUAAAAGCAGAACAUGAAAAGGUUCGCAGUUACUUUCCAAAUGCGAAACGAAGACACGCUAAAUAAAAUAAUGAUCAACUGUAUGAUUUGAGCCGCAACAUAUUUAGAACUGAUACCUAUUAUUAAACUCCCGUUGCCCGUCAAAUUACCAUCACUAAAAACACGCUUAAAAAAGGGGCGCACUUCUCAAGUAAACAUCUCUAUUGACAUAUGCACAGAUCAUCAAUCUACUGCUCAUAAACUAUUGCAAAACGGAACCUGGUAUCAUUUCAGUUCAAGUACAGCAAGGUGAAAAGGGAAAGGUACAAUUUCUUACUUGUGCUCAUAUGAUUUAGUUCAGAUAGACAUGAAUACAGAACAACCCAGCACUACCCAGGGUGGAGGUGUCCGAGCUGUAGUCUGAUCACUUCAGAGACACGGGUUUCUUGGUGAUCUUUAAGGACGGCCUUGUCAGUUUACCGCAGGGUUCUGCAUUCCAGCGGCCAGACUCCAGGAUCCUGAAGGCCAGUGGUUCUGAAUAACGAACACUUGGCUCUUGGAAAAGGAUAUUAUUGGAUCUUAAAUCAACCUGCCGAUAUUUCACAGCUCAGCCUUCACAGCCUAAGCGUGAGUCACAUCCCCCCCUCACCAGGCGUGCGAGGUACUGUCUCGGGACAUCCUGUACGAACGCCAUGCUCAGUGACGAUUUAUUUCCAGCCUGGCAGCAGCUUUCUUACGGUUCAUCGUCUAAACAGGAAUUUAGGGAAGGACUGCACAGAACUGACUCGAUGUACUGGAUCAAUUUGCAGUAAAUUGUAUUAACAUUUAAUGUAUUAACAUUUAUAGGAAACGUUUUACAUGACCAGAAUAAGAUUUUAUGAUCCUGUAUGGUUUGAGCUGAAAAUAACUGAAGAAAACUGAACUCAAGACUGAAAAGCUUAAGUACCAGGAAGAGGAAAGGUUUCAAUUCCACCAACAACCACCUGUCCCUCAGGCAGUACCCAGCAGAGCCUGGCAGUGUUCAGCCAGUUGAACAUGAUUACCCAGUCAGGCCUUGAAACAAACGCAUUCAUAAUGAUCCAAAAUCGGCUAUCAAUAAAAAAAAGACUGCCUCUUAACAAGCACUGCUCGGCAUAAAAUCCAAAAAGUAUUUUUAUAAAGAGGGCUGAAUAAACCUAGAUCUCAUCAGCGCCAGUGUAAAUGAAUUUCAGUUCAAAACCCCACACCCAGAUCUGAACACAGCACAGAAGAGUCACCCUGUAGCAGUGCUUUCUCAAGAAAGCACUUAAAGAGCCCAACACACUCCUAACGCAUACAUACAAACAGGAUACAUGCUGUUGAAAAAAAGGAGGCAAAAAGAAGAGGGAGAACUGAGAACUUACUAACUUUCCUCAGUGCAAUAUAUUUAGAAAAACAAUACCGGUAGGUUUGCAACCCAUGAAACUGAAGUUUGCUCAGGGCGAACAAAGAUCCACCUCGGUUCAACCCGAUUCAAGCAUUCGAAAUCCCCAAGGGAGUGGUCAAAGCCUUCCCACUGGACUUCCGCAGAGCCCACAGCCAAACACGAACACAGGAAAAUGGGCACUAAAGGGCAGAGCAGAGUGAAACCUCAGAAGAGGAGACCAAUUAUCUUUGCCACAGAGGGUGGAAAGGAUCUAGAAGCUCUUCAGCCAUGCUGUUGAAGCCGAUAUCCUGGCUGCCUUCAGGACAGGGCUAGAAGAGAUGAAAGUGCUUUAGCCACUAGCUAUCUGCUGACUAGAUGAGGUGAAGGGCCUACCCUCAUUUGUAACAUGCCUUAUGUUUUGCGAUCUACAUGCCAGGAGUCACUACAAAGUCUUGUUUGCUGCUUGGAAAUGAAAACCAUGACAGAUGCGAGCCAGCUUCUCUGACAUGAACACCAACACUUGCUGUACAGGGAGUAGUCAAGAAUAUUCAACUCGCCCAAUUACAUUCACAAUCCUUUAUUCAUUUCUUACAAAAAUAGGAGAAUGAUCACAUCCGCAACAGAGCUAUACAAGAAAGCUUAUUUAAUUUCAACCACCUUAUUGUACUUUUUGAGGAUCUCAGAACACAGUAGGAAAAUGUUACCAAGCGCAACUAUAUUUUACAGACAUCCUCUGUUUCUCUAUGCUGCAGGAGUUGUUGCCUUGUACUGCUGCAUUGUUGAUUGUAUUUUACCUCUGCUUCUGCAGGAAGAGUUCUGAGACUUCGAUUGUAAAAGAAUC